This 301-nucleotide ribosomal RNA is filed under the name uncultured bacterium. RNAcentral's name for it is "partial 16S ribosomal RNA". It matches the Rfam family "Bacterial small subunit ribosomal RNA", at positions 509 to 807 of the family's 1533-position model. The record is from RNAcentral.
CAGUAGCCGCGGGAAUACGUAGGGUGCAAGCGUUAAUCGGAAUUACUGGGCGUAAAGCGUGCGCAGGCGGUUCUAUAAGACAGAUGUGAAAUCCCCGGGCUCAACCUGGGAACUGCAUUUGUGACUGUAGAGCUGGAGUGCGGCAGAGGGGGAUGGAAUUCUGCGUGUAGCAGUGAAAUGCGUAGAUAUGCGGAGGAACACCGAUGGCGAAGGCAACCCCCUGGGCCUGCACUGACGCUCAUGCACGAAAGCGUGGGGAGCAAACAGGAUUAGAGACCCGGGUAGUCCCUGUCUCUUAUAC